Molecule: ribosomal RNA, 222 nt
Filed under: uncultured bacterium
Lineage: Bacteria
Description: partial 16S ribosomal RNA
Rfam family: Bacterial small subunit ribosomal RNA
Source: RNAcentral
AGUAAUGUAUGGGGAUCUGCCCGAUAGAGGGGGAUAACUACUGGAAACGGUGGCUAAUACCGCAUAAUGUCUACGGACCAAAGCAGGGGCUCUUCGGACCUUGCACUAUCGGAUGAACCCAUAUGGGGUUAGCUAGUAGGUGGGGUAAAGGCUCACCUAGGCGACGAUCUCUAGCUGGUCUGAGAGGAUGAUCAGCCACACUGGGACUGAGACACGGCCCAG